Molecule: non-coding RNA, 215 nt
Filed under: Mesorhizobium ciceri
Lineage: Bacteria; Pseudomonadati; Pseudomonadota; Alphaproteobacteria; Hyphomicrobiales; Phyllobacteriaceae
Description: FMN sequence
Rfam family: FMN riboswitch aptamer (RFN element)
About the family: The RFN element is a highly conserved domain that is found frequently in the 5'-untranslated regions of prokaryotic mRNAs that encode for flavin mononucleotide (FMN) biosynthesis and transport proteins. This element is a metabolite-dependent riboswitch that directly binds FMN in the absence of proteins. In Bacillus subtilis, the riboswitch most likely controls gene expression by causing premature transcription termination within the 5' untranslated region of the ribDEAHT operon and precluding access to the ribosome-binding site of ypaA mRNA.
Source: RNAcentral
UAAUGUUCUCAGGGCGGGGUGAAAGUCCCCACCGGCGGUAAGGGUUUCUACCCAAGCCCGCGAGCGCUUUCCGGUCCACGCAUCAAUGCGUGGAUUCUUAAGUGCUAGAGCGUCCUUUACGCGUCCAAGGGACGCGUGGCGCUCUAGUGGAAAGGUCAGCAGAUCCGGUGUGAUUCCGGAGCCGACGGUUACAGUCCGGAUGGAAGAGGACGAAA